This 22-nucleotide microRNA is filed under the name Ciona intestinalis (vase tunicate). RNAcentral's name for it is "Cin-Mir-4045_3p* (star (passenger))". Lineage: Eukaryota; Metazoa; Chordata; Ascidiacea; Phlebobranchia; Cionidae. The record is from RNAcentral.
CGGGAUCACUAUCAUUGUGAAA